AAAGCGGAAUCCAACAGAAUCACACUGGUGUAUGCCGAUGUGCACGUGUAAAAUAAUUCGAGUUUGUAAUGGACGGCCCUGCAACGAAAUGUGACUACUGCGGUUUCAAUCGCAUUUUCAUAAGUAAAUUGUCGCUAUCACCUUGCAGAAGUCUUCUUCUCUCAGUAAAAAUAGGUCGUACUCAUAUACUACGGUCUUUUCUGGUUUUUUGCAAUUUUUUGUAACGCAAGUACAAAUAAAACAUUGGAAUAACUUU
This is a long non-coding RNA of Solenopsis invicta (red fire ant), 256 nucleotides long. RefSeq lists it as uncharacterized. Lineage: Eukaryota; Metazoa; Arthropoda; Insecta; Hymenoptera; Formicidae. The record is from RefSeq and is a predicted model, not a curated record. The transcript has 2 exons.